Molecule: ribosomal RNA, 231 nt
Filed under: uncultured bacterium
Lineage: Bacteria
Description: partial 16S ribosomal RNA
Rfam family: Bacterial small subunit ribosomal RNA
Source: RNAcentral
GAGUAACGCGUAUGCAACCUACCUUAUACAGGGGGAUAGCUCUCGGAAACGAGGAUUAAUACCCCAUAUGAUUAACGAAUGGCAUCGUUUGUUAAUUAAAGCUACGGCGGUAUAAGAUGGGCAUGCGUGCCAUUAGGUAGUUGGUAAGGUAACGGCUUACCAAGCCUUCGAUGGCUAGGGGUUCUGCAAGGAAGGUCCCCCACACUGGUACUGAGACACGGACCAGACUCC